Molecule: ribosomal RNA, 490 nt
Filed under: Niabella sp.
Lineage: Bacteria; Pseudomonadati; Bacteroidota; Chitinophagia; Chitinophagales; Chitinophagaceae
Description: partial 23S ribosomal RNA
Rfam family: Bacterial large subunit ribosomal RNA
Source: RNAcentral
AACGGUCCUAAGGUAGCGAAAUUCCUUGUCAGGUAAAUUCUGACCCGCACGAAUGGCGUAACGAUCUUGGGCGCUGUCUCAACGAGAGAUCCGGUGAAAUUUUAGUACCUGUGAAGAUGCAGGUUACCCGCGACGUGACGGAAAGACCCCAUGGAGCUUUACUGUAGCUUGAUAUUGAACUUUGGUACGGUCUGUACAGGAUAGGUGGGAGCCUAUGAAGUGGGAGCGCAAGCUUCCAUGGAGGCGCCGUUGGGAUACCACCCUGAUCGUAUCGGAGUUCUAACCUGUCGCCAUGAAGCUGGCGAAGGGACCGUGUCAGGUGGACAGUUUGACUGGGGCGGUCGCCUCCUAAAAAGUAACGGAGGCGCCCUAAGGUUCCCUCAGAAUGGUUGGAAAUCAUUCGCAGAGUGCAAAGGCAUAAGGGAGCUUGACUGCGAGACCUACAAGUCGAGCAGGGACGAAAGUAGGUCUUAGUGAUCCGGCGGUAGCA